Molecule: ribosomal RNA, 119 nt
Organism: Pteropus vampyrus (large flying fox)
Lineage: Eukaryota; Metazoa; Chordata; Mammalia; Chiroptera; Pteropodidae
Source: Ensembl
GUCUGCAGUCAUGCUAACCUGAACAAGCCCUAUCCCAUAUGAUCUUGGAAGGUAAGCAGAGUCGAGCCUAGUUAGUAUUUGCAUGGGAGACCACCUAGGAAGACCAGGUGCUAUAGAAG